This 72-nucleotide transfer RNA is filed under the name Lingula anatina. It matches the Rfam family "tRNA". Rfam says of the family: Transfer RNA (tRNA) molecules are approximately 80 nucleotides in length. Their secondary structure includes four short double-helical elements and three loops (D, anti-codon, and T loops). Further hydrogen bonds mediate the characteristic L-shaped molecular structure. tRNAs have two regions of fundamental functional importance: the anti-codon, which is responsible for specific mRNA codon recognition, and the 3' end, to which the tRNAs corresponding amino acid is attached (by aminoacyl-tRNA synthetases). tRNAs cope with the degeneracy of the genetic code in two manners: having more than one tRNA (with a specific anti-codon) for a particular amino acid; and 'wobble' base-pairing, i.e. permitting non-standard base-pairing at the 3rd anti-codon position. The record is from Rfam by way of RNAcentral. Lineage: Eukaryota; Metazoa; Brachiopoda; Lingulata; Lingulida; Lingulidae.
GGGGAUGUAGCUUAGAGGUAGAACGCACGCUUUGCAUGAGUGAAGCCCCCGGUUCAAUCCCCGGCAUCUCCA